CCAGGANGCAGCAGGCNCGCAAAUUACCCACUCCCGGCACGGGGAGGUAGUGACGAAAAAUAACGAUACGGGACUCAUCCGAGGCCCCGUAAUCGGAAUGAGUACACUUUAAAACCUUUAACGAGUAUCCAUUGGAGGGCAAGUCUGGUGCCAGCAGCCGCGGUAAUUCCAGCUCCAAUAGCGUAUAUUAAAGUUGUUGCGGUUAAAAAGCUCGUAGUUGGAUUUGUGUCCCACGCUGUCGGUUCACCGUUCGUCGGUGUUUAACUGGCAUGCCUGUGCGGACGUCCUGCCGGUGGAUGCGGUCGGCCGUGGGCCAUUGGUCUGCGCGUCGGCGGUCCGAUUCAAUCCUACCGCGGUGCUCUUCACCGAGUGUCGAGGUGGGCCGGCACGUUUACUUUGAACAAAUUAGAGUGCUCAAAGCAGGCAGUGGUUCGCCUGAAUAUUGUGUGCAUGGAAUAAUGGAAUAGGACCUCGGUUCUAUUUUGUUGGUUUUCGGAACUUGAGGUAAUGAUUAAUAGGGACAGACGGGGGCAUUCGUAUUGCGACGUUAGAGGUGAAAUUCUUGGAUCGUCGCAAGACGAACCUAAGCGAAAGCAUUUGCCACGAGUGUUUUCAUUAAUCAAGAACGAAAGUUAGAGGUUCGAAGGCGAUCAGAUACCGCCCUAGUUCUAACCAUAAACGAUGCCAGCUAGCGAUCCGCCGAAGUUCCUCCGAUGACUCGGCGGGCAGCUUCCGGGAAACCAAAGCUUUUGGGUUCCGGGGGAAGUAUGGUUGCAAAGCUGAAACUUAAAGGAAUUGACGGAAGGGCACCACCAGGAGUGGAGCCUGCGGCUUAAUUUGACUCAACACGGGAAACCUCACCAGGCCCGGACACCGGAAGGAUUGACAGAUUGAGAGCUCUUUCUUGAUUCGGUGGGUGGUGGUGCAUGGCCGUUCUUAUUUGGUGG
Molecule: ribosomal RNA, 947 nt
Filed under: Mearnsiana bullosa
Lineage: Eukaryota; Metazoa; Arthropoda; Insecta; Phasmatodea; Heteropterygidae
Description: SSU rRNA
Rfam family: Eukaryotic small subunit ribosomal RNA
Source: RNAcentral